Molecule: long non-coding RNA, 1889 nt
Filed under: Olea europaea subsp. europaea
Lineage: Eukaryota; Viridiplantae; Streptophyta; Magnoliopsida; Lamiales; Oleaceae
Source: RNAcentral
ACCGUUUGUUGAUAACAAAAAUGAAAUUAAGGAUGAAUUUUUGAGAGAAAAAAUGAUUUGCGAACAAUUAGUCACAAAAUCUAUUGUUAAAAAAAGAAAAAAAAUUCAAUAAGAUUAAUUUUUUAAUCCGUCCAUUGUAACGACAGUGAUUUGUUGUCUACAAAAGAUCAUAUAGUGAUGAAAAAUCAUUCAUUCCUGAAUAGCAACAUAACUUUUCCUUAAGCUAAAUUUGGGUGUUAGCAUACCAAUCAACCAUUUGCCGUAUCGGAUCGUGCGGUUGGUCCAGUUAAUACUUUUAUCUUUGUUUAGUGGAGAUUAAAUCAAAUUUUUGACAAAUCUUGAUAAGAUUGAUGAAGUGUGUGAUUGAAAAGUUGUAAAUUCCCUAAAAUAUGUAAUUAAAACUAAUUGUUAUUUUAACUUGAAUUAAAAUCUACAUUUCAACUUUACCCAAUAGGAGCUUAAAAGAAUCAACACAUGCCCCGCUUUUAAUCUUAUUAUUGCUAAUAUUCGCCUACUUAAAAAGAAGAAUAAAUCUCCCUGUCCCGGGUUGGGGACAGGGUUAACUAUUGGAGGGGUGUCGACCAGGGGCAGACGCCCCUCUCAUAGGGGGGCGUCAUGUGUUUUUAACCUUGUCCCGGGUUCGGGACAGGGAGCAUCACUGUAAAAAGAAUACUUCAUGAAAAAUAUCUAUCACCUCAUUUCAAUAGUUGGUUUUAGAUUUCAAUAUUUGUAUGUCUAAUUUCAAAUCUGAAACUGGAUUCAUCAUCACAGCCUUCUCCACACAACCACAUAGAUUUCAAAUUUGGUUUCACAUCUGAAUCUGCCCUCAUCUUUUAGAAAAACUUACCUUGAAGUCGAAUUGUUUAGGAAAUUGGUGAGCUAAACCUGAAACACAAAUUAACCCUGUAACUGAAAACUCUUAAUUGGUGGUGUGCCUGCCAAAAAGAUCAUUUUUAAACUUGGACCCAUUUCUCUUCCAAUAACAAUUUAGUCCUUGUUUGAUUUACCUAAAAAUCAGUUUUUAAUGUAUAUGUGACGUAAUAAGUAGAAAUACCUGUCAAGUUGGGGGGAUUAUUCUAAAUGGCCUAUCACUAUUCAUUCUUGCCAAAAUGUCUAUAAUACUCUUAAUGAAAUCGCCUAUCAUAUUUUGCACAAAAUAUCCCAAUUUAUUGGAAUAGUUCCAAAAUUCUUCUAUUUCUCUCAUUUCGAAUUUUAAUAUAUAGUUCCAUCCUUUGAUCUAAUAAAUUAGCAUAAUCUGUAAUAUAAUUGUUAUGUAAUUCUUUAAGAUUAUCAUAUUCCUUAGAUGAUAUAUCCAUAAUCUCUAGUUGAGAAAAAAUAUUUUUUAUGUUUUCUAAUAGUAUUUCUAACAGAUUAUCUAAUUCUUUACUUGUAUAGCCUGACAUCAUUUAGAUAAUUCCUUACAAGCUUUAUGAAUAAUAAUAACAUGAUAUAUAAGUUUUUUGCAAACAUGAAAAGUAAUAAUCCCUACGAUUCUUUCAAGAUAUUAGAAGAAUUCUUUCUAAAUUUAACAAAGACAAUAAUUUUACCUUACUUUUGAUUUUAAAUCUGUAUUCUUAGAAUCGAGUGACUUUCAAGCUCUGAAUCUGGAAACUGCUCCCUCAAACGGCCUUUUGCCUCAAUGGGAUUUCUUAGAAUUAAGAAUAAGGAUAUUAAGUAAAGAAAAUUCACUUUUUGUUAAAGUAAGAAAGAAAUUAUCUUUUUCAAUCUGUCAAGAAUCUAUGAGAUAGGAAGUUCAGAAACUCAUAUUUUUCUGAUAUCAAAAGAUUGAAAUUUUAUUUAUAUAGUGAUUUAUACAAGGUUUCUAUUGUAUACAAGGGGUUUCCAGAAAAACUGGUUUUAAACAAAGUUUAAGGAAAGAGAAUGGUUUC